RNAcentral lists this ribosomal RNA (429 nucleotides) under Acidobacteriota bacterium. RNAcentral's name for it is "Acidobacteria bacterium partial 16S ribosomal RNA". It matches the Rfam family "Bacterial small subunit ribosomal RNA", at positions 355 to 776 of the family's 1533-position model. Lineage: Bacteria; Pseudomonadati; Acidobacteriota. The record is from RNAcentral.
UGGGGAAUUUUGGACAAUGGGGGAAACCCUGAUCCAGCCAUCCCGCGUGUGCGAUGAAGGCCUUCGGGUUGUAAAGCACUUUUGGCAGGAAAGAAACGUCAUGGGUUAAUACCCCGUGAAACUGACGGUACCUGCAGAAUAAGCACCGGCUAACUACGUGCCAGCAGCCGCGGUAAUACGUAGGGUGCAAGCGUUAAUCGGAAUUUCUGGGCGUAAAGCGUGCGCAGGCGGUUCGGAAAGAAAGAUGUGAAAUCCCAGAGCUCAACUUUGGAACUGCAUUUUUAACUACCGGGCUAGAGUGUGUCAGAGGGAGGUGGAAUUCCGCGUGUAGCAGUGAAAUGCGUAGAUAUGCGGAGGAACACCGAUGGCGAAGGCAGCCUCCUGGGAUAACACUGACGCUCAUGCACGAAAGCGUGGGGAGCAAACAGG